GACAAGAAAUAACAAUACGGGGCUUAAAGUCUUGUAAUUGGAAUGAUGGGAAUUUAAACCUCUUCCAGAGUAUCAAUUGGAGGGCAAGUCUGGUGCCAGCAGCCGCGGUAAUUCCAGCUCCAAUAGCGUAUAUUAAAAUUGUUGCAGUUAAAAAGCUCGUAGUUGAAUUUCUGCUGCAUUGCUUGUGUCCCGCUGGGGUCUGUGCAUGUGGCUUUUUUCGGACGGAGUUUCUUUGUCUGAAUGUUUACUUUGAGAAAAUUAGAGUGCUCAAAGCAGGCUUUCGCCUUGAAUAGUUUAGCAUGGAAUAAUAAAGUAGGACUUUGGUUCUAUUUUGUUGGUUUUAGGUACCAAAGUAAUGGUUAAUAGGAACAGUUGGGGGCAUUCGUAUUUAACUGUCAGAGGUGAAAUUCUUAG
This 414-nucleotide ribosomal RNA is filed under the name Theileria annulata. RNAcentral's name for it is "SSU rRNA". It matches the Rfam family "Eukaryotic small subunit ribosomal RNA", at positions 469 to 923 of the family's 1831-position model. Lineage: Eukaryota; Apicomplexa; Aconoidasida; Piroplasmida; Theileriidae. The record is from RNAcentral.